AUGCUUGGAAGGAUCGACUGCAUGCAUUCGAAAUGGAAGAACUGUCCAUUUGCUUGGCAGGGGUUGUACAAAGGCGUCAAAUACGGUUGCAGUGUGGUACUUGAGGCAGUGGCCACACAAGACCUUUGGAUUUGGCACUCUUUCUUUGGGAUGCCAGGAACUCACAAUGACAUCAACGUCCUGCAGUACUCCCCUGUCUUUGCCAAGCUUGUUGAAGAUCAUUCUCCUCCGGUGAACUUCGAGGUCAAUGGGCGGCACUACAACAAGGGGUACUACCUAGUUGAUGGCAUCUAUCCGAGAUGGUCGACAUUUGUGAAGACUAUCUCAAACCUAGUGCCAGGAGGUAAGAACGCCUUCUUUGCAAAGGUUCAGGAGGCUUGCAGGAAGGAUGUCGAGCGGGCAUUUGGUGUGCUCCAAUCUCGAUUUGCUGUUGUCCGGUUCCCCCUGCUCAGACCUGGUCGAAAGAUCAAAUGUGGGAGAUCAUGA
This 486-nucleotide ribosomal RNA is filed under the name Triticum aestivum (bread wheat). Its description in RNAcentral is "partial small subunit ribosomal RNA". Lineage: Eukaryota; Viridiplantae; Streptophyta; Magnoliopsida; Poales; Poaceae. The record is from RNAcentral.